UGAAAAUGAAAGACGAGGAAAUAUGAAUUAAUGACAAAUGAACUGAGCAUGAUGUAUAAGUCCUAAGUAAAGAUAAUUUCUUAUGUAAUGACUUGGGAUGGUAUCACAACAACUUAUCACAAAAUAUCACAUCCAAGUUAUCAAUUUAUCCCUAAAUGUAGAAGCAUACAUCCAACUCGUAUCCUCAAGAAAACUCUGGAAAACAUCCUUGAAAAGAAAUGCAAAUUUGGCCAGGAGGAUGAGGAAGAUGAUGAUGAAAAUCUACUGAAAUGGCUAGAAAUGAAAAUUAAAUUAUUAAUUAAAACAGCAAAAGAUGGGAAAUUUCAUAAUAUAAAAUUUAUGUAUUAUAUGUAAUAAACGUUGUGGAAAAUUUGCUAGUAGUGCUGUUAUUGAGUGUAGAUAUUAUAUAUUAGAAAUU
RNAcentral lists this long non-coding RNA (418 nucleotides) under Androctonus crassicauda. Lineage: Eukaryota; Metazoa; Arthropoda; Arachnida; Scorpiones; Buthidae. The record is from RNAcentral.